GCUGGGCAUGGUGGUGUGUGCCUGUAAUCCCAGCUACUCGGGAGGCUGAGGCAGGAGAAUUGCCUGAACCCAGGAGGUGGAGGUUGUGGUGAUCCGAGAUCAUGCCAUUGCACUCCAGCCUGGGUAACAAGAGCGAAACUCUGUCUCAAAAAAAAAAAAAAAAAAAAAAAAAAAAUUGGCUAGAUAUACCAAAAAGUGUUCGACUAAUCUGUUUUUUGCUUUUUUUUUUGAGACAGAAUCUUGCUCUGUUGCCUAGGCUGGAGUGCAGUGGUGUGAUCUCAGCUCACUGCAACCACCACCUCCUGGGCUCAGGUGAUUCUCCUGCUUCAG
This 330-nucleotide non-coding RNA is filed under the name Callithrix jacchus (white-tufted-ear marmoset). The record is from RNAcentral. Lineage: Eukaryota; Metazoa; Chordata; Mammalia; Primates; Cebidae.